Molecule: unclassified non-coding RNA, 368 nt
Filed under: soil metagenome
Description: partial contains 5.8S ribosomal RNA, internal transcribed spacer 2, and large subunit ribosomal RNA
Rfam family: 5.8S ribosomal RNA (bases 1-120)
Source: RNAcentral
GAUGAAGAACGUAGUGAAAUGCGAUAAGUAAUGUGAAUUGCAGAAUUCAGUGAACCAUCGAAUCUUUGAACGCACAUUGCGCCCGGCAGUAAUCUGCCGGGCAUGCCUGUCCGAGCGUCAUUUCUGCCCUCGAGCCUGUCCAGCAUCUAGGUGCUGUUCCGGCCCGGCGUUGGGGCACUACGGGAAGCCUCGUGCUAUCCCCCGUAGGCCCCGAAAUGAAGUGGCGGUCCUGCCGCGGCUCCCCCUGCGUAGUAUUACAGCUCGCUUCGGGACCCGGUGGAGGCCUGCCGUCAAACCUUACUCUCUAAGUUUGACCUCGGAUCAGGUAGGGUUACCCGCUGAACUUAAGCAUAUCAAUAAGCGGAGGA